AUUCCUUGAUCAGAAAAGAAAAAAAUGAUGGGAAAAAAAAAGGAAAGGAAAUCAACAUUGACUCUAACCAAAUUUUCAUCCUCAUAAUUCAUUAUAAAUACACUGUUAGCAGCGAUAAUACCCACAUGUGCUUGAGAAAUAUGAACUACACUAUUUCAUCAAAACAUUUACAAAGGCAUGCAAACAAGAAAAAAAAAUUCUUCUGGCAAAACAAAGGAACUUGAUGCAGCUUGAAGCUCAAAGAGAAUACCACUCACACAAAUACACAAGUAUUUGAGA
This 279-nucleotide unclassified non-coding RNA is filed under the name Hevea brasiliensis (rubber tree). Lineage: Eukaryota; Viridiplantae; Streptophyta; Magnoliopsida; Malpighiales; Euphorbiaceae. The record is from RNAcentral.